GCUGGCGGCACGCCUUAUACAUGCAAGUCGAACGAAGUAGCAAUACUUAGUGGCAGACGGGUGAGUAACAUGUAGGUAUCUUCCCUUUGGUGAGGAAUAACACGAGGAAACUUGUGCUAAUACCUCAUAAGUCUUUACGGAGAAAGCUUUAUGCGCCGAAGGAUGAGCCUGCACUUGAUUAGUUUGUUGGUGGGGUAAUGGCCUACCAAGACUGUGAUCUAUAGCUGAUCUGAGAGGAUGAUCAGCCACAUUGGGACUGAGACACGGCCCAAACUCCUACGGGAGGCAGCAGUAGGGAAUAUUGCACAAUGGAGGAAACUCUGAUGCAGCGAUGCCGCGUGAGUGAAGAAGGCCUUUGGGUUGUAAAGCUCUUUCGUCGGGGAAGAAAAUGACUGUACCCGAAUAAGAAGGUCCGGCUAACUUCGUGCCAGCAGCCGCGGUAAUACGAAGGGACCUAGCGUAGUUCGGAAUUACUGGGCUUAAAGAGUUCGUAGGUGGUUAAAAAAGUUGGUGGUGAAAUCCCAGAGCUUAACUCUGGAACUGCCAUCAAAACUUUUUAGCUAGAGUAUGAUAGAGGAAAGCAGAAUUUCUAGUGUAGAGGUGAAAUUCGUAGAUAUUAGAAAGAAUACCAAUUGCGAAGGCAGCUUUCUGGAUCAUUACUGACGCUGAGGAACGAAAGCAUGGGUAGCGAAGAGGAUUAGAUACCCUCGUAGUCCAUGCCGUAAACGAUGUGUGUUAGACGUUGGAAAUUUAUUUUCAGUGUCGCAGCGAAAGCAUUAAACACACCGCCUGGGGAG
This 797-nucleotide ribosomal RNA is filed under the name uncultured Pelagibacteraceae bacterium. Its description in RNAcentral is "bacterial SSU rRNA". It matches the Rfam family "Bacterial small subunit ribosomal RNA", at positions 35 to 880 of the family's 1533-position model. Lineage: Bacteria; Pseudomonadati; Pseudomonadota; Alphaproteobacteria; Candidatus Pelagibacterales; Candidatus Pelagibacteraceae. The record is from RNAcentral.